RNAcentral lists this ribosomal RNA (292 nucleotides) under uncultured bacterium. RNAcentral's name for it is "partial 16S ribosomal RNA". It matches the Rfam family "Bacterial small subunit ribosomal RNA", at positions 505 to 796 of the family's 1533-position model. The record is from RNAcentral.
GUGUCAGCCGCCGCGGUAAUACGGAGGGUGCAAGCGUUAUCCGGAUUCACUGGGUUUAAAGGGUGUGUAGGCGGACUUUUAAGUCCGUGGUGAAAUCUCCAGGCUUAACCUGGAAACUGCCAUGGAUACUAUUGGUCUUGAAUGCUGUUGAGGUGGGCGGAAUACAUCAUGUAGCGGUGAAAUGCUUAGAUAUGAUGUAGAACACCGAUUGCGAAGGCAGCUCACUAAGCAGAUAUUGACGCUGAGGCACGAAAGCGUGGGGAUCAAACAGGAUUAGAUACCCUUGUAGUCC